UACGAAGGGGGCUAGCGUUGUUCGGAAUCACUGGGCGUAAAGGGCGCGUAGGCGGCCGAUCAAGUCGGGGGUGAAAGCCUGUGGCUUAACCACAGAAUGGCCUUCGAUACUGUUUGGCUUGAGACCGGAAGAGGGAUGCAGAAUUCCAGGUGUAGCGGUGAAAUGCGUAGAUAUCUGGAGGAAUACCGGUGGCGAAGGCGGCAUCCUGGACCGGCAUUGACGCUGAUGAGCGAAAGCUAGGGGAGCAAACGGG
This 253-nucleotide ribosomal RNA is filed under the name uncultured bacterium. RNAcentral's name for it is "partial 16S ribosomal RNA". It matches the Rfam family "Bacterial small subunit ribosomal RNA", at positions 524 to 776 of the family's 1533-position model. The record is from RNAcentral.